Long non-coding RNA from Eucalyptus grandis, 321 nucleotides. RefSeq lists it as uncharacterized. The record is from RefSeq and is a predicted model, not a curated record. The transcript has 3 exons. Lineage: Eukaryota; Viridiplantae; Streptophyta; Magnoliopsida; Myrtales; Myrtaceae.
UUUGACAUGCUUGAUUGCUGCAAGUGGGGCGAGAGAAUUAAAAGUGAGGUCCAAGGCUCAUAAAGCUGUUUACAAUCACACUCUUGCCACAAUAUUGGUGGAGUUUACAUGUCAGAUUUGACAGAUCUUUUUAGUUGGACAUUGCCUAGAUUUUAUGGAAAAACCAAGGUAAUUUGACUCCCUUUUAAUAUAGCAUUGUUGCUUAGGUUGCGUGAAGAAUGGAUCUUUAGUACUAAAUACCCAAUUCUUAAGAUGAGAUUUCUUGGGCAUAUGCAGCCUCAUCUUAUGAGCUUCCGAACUGGUUUUUAAUGCCUUUUUGAU